GCCGAUGUAGCUCAGUGGUAGAGCAGCUGUUUUGUAAACAGCAGGUCGUCGGUUCGAACCCGACCGUCGGCUCCA
RNAcentral lists this transfer RNA (75 nucleotides) under Chloroflexota bacterium. RNAcentral's name for it is "Chloroflexi bacterium tRNA-Thr". It matches the Rfam family "tRNA". Rfam says of the family: Transfer RNA (tRNA) molecules are approximately 80 nucleotides in length. The record is from RNAcentral. Lineage: Bacteria; Bacillati; Chloroflexota. RNAcentral also lists the same sequence under 2 other names.